ACUCCUACGGGAGGCAGCAGUGGGGAAUAUUGCACAAUGGGCGUAAGCCUGAUGCAGCAACGCCGCGUGAGGGAUGACGGCCUUCGGGUUGUAAACCUCUUUUAGUAGGGAAGAAGCGAAAGUGACGGUACCUGCAGAAAAAGCACCGGCUAACUACGUGCCAGCAGCCGCGGUAAUACGUAGGGUGCAAGCGUUGUCCGGAAUUAUUGGGCGUAAAGAGCUCGUAGGCGGUUUGUCGCGUCUGCUGUGAAAUCUGGGGGCUCAACCCCCAGCCUGCAGUGGGUACGGGCAGACUAGAGUGCGGUAGGGGAGAUUGGAAUUCCUGGUGUAGCGGUGGAAUGCGCAGAUAUCAGGAGGAACACCGAUGGCGAAGGCAGAUCUCUGGGCCGUAACUGACGCUGAGGAGCGAAAGCAUGGGGAGCGAACAGGAUUAGAUACCCUGGUAGUCCAUGCCGUAAACGUUGGGAACUAGAUGUAGGGGCCAUUCCACGGUUUCUGUGUCGCAGCUAACGCAUUAAGUUCCCCGCCUGGGGAGUACGGCCGCAAGGCUAAAACUCAAAGGAAUUGACGGGGGCCCGCACAAGCGGCGGAGCAUGCGGAUUAAUUCGAUGCAACGCGAAGAACCUUACCAAGGCUUGACAUAUACCGGAAACGUCCAGAGAUGGUCGCCCCGCAAGGUCGGUAUACAGGUGGUGCAUGGUUGUCGUCAGCUCGUGUCGUGAGAUGUUGGGUUAAGUCCCGCAACGAGCGCAACCCUCGUUCUAUGUUGCCAGCACGUUAUGGUGGGAACUCAUAGGAGACUGCCGGGGUCAACUCGGA
This 819-nucleotide ribosomal RNA is filed under the name uncultured Actinomycetes bacterium. RNAcentral describes it as "bacterial SSU rRNA". It matches the Rfam family "Bacterial small subunit ribosomal RNA", at positions 335 to 1167 of the family's 1533-position model. The record is from RNAcentral. Lineage: Bacteria; Bacillati; Actinomycetota; Actinomycetes.